CUGAUGUCUGUCACUCACUGG
RNAcentral lists this microRNA (21 nucleotides) under Callorhinchus milii (elephant shark). RNAcentral describes it as "eshark_NOVEL_101". Lineage: Eukaryota; Metazoa; Chordata; Chondrichthyes; Chimaeriformes; Callorhinchidae. The record is from RNAcentral.